AUCAAGGAGUAGGAAGGAAAACACAAGUUAUUCCUCCCUUGUUAGAGGACAGAUUUCCUUGCAGUUUCAGUCAUAUAUUUGGAGGUGGAUAUGCAGCUGGAUACUACAGUUACAAGUGGGCUGAGGUGCUGUCUGCAGAUGCUUUUUCGGCAUUUGAGGAUGCUGGGUUGGACGACGACAAG
Molecule: long non-coding RNA, 182 nt
Organism: Phalaenopsis equestris
Lineage: Eukaryota; Viridiplantae; Streptophyta; Magnoliopsida; Asparagales; Orchidaceae
Exons: 3
Source: RefSeq, a predicted model, not a curated record